RNAcentral lists this ribosomal RNA (484 nucleotides) under uncultured bacterium. Its description in RNAcentral is "partial 16S ribosomal RNA". It matches the Rfam family "Bacterial small subunit ribosomal RNA", at positions 30 to 507 of the family's 1533-position model. The record is from RNAcentral.
AUUGAACGCUGGCGGCAGGCCUAACACAUGCAAGUCGAGCGGAUGAAGGGAGCUUGCUCCUGGAUUCAGCGGCGGACGGGUGAGUAAUGCCUAGGAAUCUGCCUGGUAGUGGGGGAUAACGUCCGGAAACGGGCGCUAAUACCGCAUACGUCCUGAGGGAGAAAGUGGGGGAUCUUCGGACCUCACGCUAUCGGAUGAGCCUAGGUCGGAUUAGCUAGUUGGUGGGGUAAAGGCCUACCAAGGCGACGAUCCGUAACUGGUCUGAGAGGAUGAUCAGUCACACUGGAACGGAGACACGGUCCAGACUCCUACGGGAGGCAGCAGUGGGGAAUAUUGGACAAUGGGCGAAAGCCUGAUCCAGCCAUGCCGCGUGUGUGAAGAAGGUCUUCGGAUUGUAAAGCACUUUAAGGUGGGAGGAAGGGCAGUAAGUUAAUACCUUGCUGUUUCGACGUUACCAACAGAAUAAGCACCGGCUAACUUCGUG